AUGAGAACCUUGGAGGGUAUGGUUUGUAUGAAUUCCUCAGAGGUAGAAACAACAAGAGCCACUGAAGAUAAUAUAAUUGUUCCAUACGGUUCCUGCUUGUAUGAUGUUGACAACCUUGAAGAAGAUGAAAUCGAAGAGGAUGAAGUCUUACGUUUGGGAGGAAACAGUCCAAUCACUUGGACAGACAGGCCAAAAGCAAAUCUCCUGCUGCAUGAUCUUCAAGGUUGGAGGGCUGAACAAGGGCACCAAAAAGUGCCAGUUGCAAAUUGGCAACAUGGUAAACAUGUCGCCACAGAGUCAAGUGGCACUAGUGGAUGGAACCAGAGCAGUUCUACCAUGAAAGUUUAUCAGAGAAGGCAACGUAAUAGUAAUUGGAGCUCAGAUGCAACACAGCAAGAUGGUAAACCGAGUUGGAACAAAGCAUAUGUGGCAGGCCCGAGCAACUUUGCCAUUACAGGGCCAUCAUGUGGUACUAGUGGAUGGAACCAGAGCAGUUCUACCACGAAAGUUUAUAAGAGAAGGCAAUUUGAUAGUAAUUGGAGCUCAGAUGCAACACAACAAGAUGGUAACCCAAGUUGGAAGAAAGCAAAUGUGGCAGGCCAGGGCAACUUUGCCAUUACAGGGCCAUCUAGCUCUGGUGGAUGGAGUAGAAAGACCAAUAAUCUUGGUAGAGGUCGAGGUGGUGGUAGAGGUGCAGUGUGGAAAUCAGAGGGAUCACACCGUGGAGGUAACAGUAGGUGGAAAGCCCAAAGAGCCAAUACCACAAGCGCCCCGAACUUCCACAUUUCAGGACCAUCCAACUUUGGUGGACGGAACAUCAAGACCGGCAAUCUUGGCCCAUGCCGUGGCAGAGGACCAGCAUGGAGAUCAAACGGACCAAACCGGGGAGGUAGCAAUGGUGGACCAAGAGGGAGUUCAAAUUUUACACUAGCGGAACAGCAGAUACAUGCACAAGUUGAUCCAAUCAUGAAGGAAGUAAAGAGGAUCAUCCGUGAAUCAAGGUAUAAUAUGUAG
Molecule: ribosomal RNA, 1014 nt
Filed under: Triticum aestivum (bread wheat)
Lineage: Eukaryota; Viridiplantae; Streptophyta; Magnoliopsida; Poales; Poaceae
Description: partial small subunit ribosomal RNA
Source: RNAcentral